GAUGAAGAACGUAGCGAAAUGCGAUAAGUAAUGUGAAUUGCAGAAUUCCGUGAAUCAUCGAAUCUUUGAACGCACAUUGCGCCCCCUGGCAUUCCGGGGGGCAUGCCUGUCCGAGCGUCAUUUCUGCCCUCCAGCCCGGCUGGGUGUUGGGCGCUGUCCCCCCGGGGACACGCCCCAAAGGCAGUGGCGGCGCCGCGUCGGGUCCUCGAGCGUAUGGGGCUUUGUCACCCGCUCGGGACGGACUCGUCGGCGCUGGUCUUCCUCCAGGCGACCCUUCGGGGCUCGUCUUCCUUCGGUUGGCCUCGGAUCAGGUAGGGUUACCCGCUGAACUUAAGCAUAUCAUAAGCGGAGGA
Molecule: unclassified non-coding RNA, 353 nt
Filed under: soil metagenome
Description: partial contains 5.8S ribosomal RNA, internal transcribed spacer 2, and large subunit ribosomal RNA
Rfam family: 5.8S ribosomal RNA (bases 1-120)
Source: RNAcentral